ACGGAAGGCGCAGUGGGGAAUAUUGCACAAUGGGGGAAACCCUGAUGCAGCGACGCCGCGUGAGCGAAGAAGUAUUUCGGUAUGUAAAGCUCUAUCAGCAGGGAAGAAAAUGACGGUACCUGACUAAGAAGCUCCGGCUAAAUACGUGCCAGCAGCCGCGGUAAUACGUAUGGAGCAAGCGUUAUCCGGAUUUACUGGGUGUAAAGGGAGCGUAGGCGGCACGGCAAGCCAGAAGUGAAAUGCCGGGGCUCAACCCCGGAACUGCUUUUGGAACUGUCGAGCUAGAUUGCAGGAGAGGUAAGUGGAAUUCCUAGUGUAGCGGUGAAAUGCGUAGAUAUUAGGAGGAACACCAGUGGCGAAGGCGGCUUACUGGACUGUAAAUGACGCUGAGGCUCGAAAGCGUGGGGAGCAAACAGGAUUAGAUACCCUGGUA
RNAcentral lists this ribosomal RNA (433 nucleotides) under uncultured Lachnospiraceae bacterium. RNAcentral describes it as "partial 16S ribosomal RNA". It matches the Rfam family "Bacterial small subunit ribosomal RNA", at positions 341 to 792 of the family's 1533-position model. Lineage: Bacteria; Bacillati; Bacillota; Clostridia; Lachnospirales; Lachnospiraceae. The record is from RNAcentral.